This 253-nucleotide ribosomal RNA is filed under the name uncultured bacterium. RNAcentral describes it as "partial 16S ribosomal RNA". It matches the Rfam family "Bacterial small subunit ribosomal RNA", at positions 524 to 776 of the family's 1533-position model. The record is from RNAcentral.
UACAGAGGGGGCAAGCGUUAUUCGGAAUUAUUGGGCGUAAAGGGUGCGUAGGCGGCGUGGUAAGUCGGGUGUGAAAUCUCGGAGCUUAACUCCGGAACUGCAUUCGAUACUGCCGUGCUUGAGGACUGGAGAGGAGACUGGAAUUUACGGUGUAGCGGUGAAAUGCGUAGAUAUCGUAAGGAAGACCAGUGGCGAAGGCGGGUCUCUGGACAGUUCCUGACGCUGAGGCACGAAGGCCAGGGGAGCAAACGGG